Molecule: long non-coding RNA, 219 nt
Organism: Sapajus apella (tufted capuchin)
Lineage: Eukaryota; Metazoa; Chordata; Mammalia; Primates; Cebidae
Exons: 3
Source: RefSeq, a predicted model, not a curated record
UGUAUGUGUGUGUUUAAAUAAACAUAGAAACUGACCCUUCUGGUCUUAAAGCUUGAAACUUGUUUGUUUUAUCUGAGUUCCUUCCUCAGGAAAGGACCUUCAGGCCUCUCAAAAAAAGUAUCAAAGAACUGAAACUCACCAGAUCACUGCACCAGAGGACUCUUUGCCCCUCUCUAGGUCAUGUUUUCUUACACACUGUUACAUUUCUUCCCUGCUAUA